UGGGGAAUAUUGCACAAUGGGCGCAAGCCUGAUGCAGCAUGCCGCGUGUGUGAAGAAGGCCUUCGGGUUGUAAAGCACUUUCAGCGGGGAGGAAGGCGUUAAGGUUAAUAACCUUGGCGAUUGACGUUACCCGCAGAAGAAGCACCGGCUAACUCCGUGCCAGCAGCCGCGGUAAUACGGAGGGUGCAAGCGUUAAUCGGAAUUACUGGGCGUAAAGCGCACGCAGGCGGUCUGUCAAGUCGGAUGUGAAAUCCCCGGGCUCAACCUGGGAACUGCAUUCGAAACUGGCAGGCUAGAGUCUUGUAGAGGGGGGUAGAAUUCCAGGUGUAGCGGUGAAAUGCGUAGAGAUCUGGAGGAAUACCGGUGGCGAAGGCGGCCCCCUGGACAAAGACUGACGCUCAGGUGCGAAAGCGUGGGGAGCAAACAGG
Molecule: ribosomal RNA, 428 nt
Filed under: Chloroflexota bacterium
Lineage: Bacteria; Bacillati; Chloroflexota
Description: Chloroflexi bacterium partial 16S ribosomal RNA
Rfam family: Bacterial small subunit ribosomal RNA
Source: RNAcentral